This 607-nucleotide long non-coding RNA is filed under the name Lynx pardinus (Iberian lynx). The record is from RNAcentral. Lineage: Eukaryota; Metazoa; Chordata; Mammalia; Carnivora; Felidae.
UUCUCCAAACACUGGAAACUCUCUGAUGCGUCCUUCUGACUGCAGGACAGGAAUCAUUGAUAAUAUAUUCAAAAACUUAACUGCCCAAGCAUCUUCUUUAGUGGUGGUGGGGACAGUCACAAGAUCAUGAACUUCUAGUUCUCUAGCUAGGUGGAUGCUGGCACCGGUGUCCAAAACAGCUGCCUUCUCAGGAGCCAAGAAACCAGGAAGCUCCUUCCCAUAUACCAUUUGCUGUUCACACCAGUCUUGAGUAGACAAGUCAGUGACAUACAAAUAUUUAAGGUGGAAUCGCUCCAUAGGUGAUGAGACAUCCAAUCCUCUUUUCCAUUUUGGUAAGCUUGUGAGCUUGUCAUCCUUCCCAGGGAGUUCAGAAGAAGGACCAGGCUUGCUAAGUGAUGCACUUGACUCCUGAGUAUCUUCCAGGUCCAGAUACUCUAGCAACUCUGAGUCACUCAAGUCUGAGAACCCUGAGGCCUCUACUGACCCCGUCUCCUCUUCCCCAUUCUCUGCCAUGGCACAAGGCCCUGCAAUAUAGUGUUAAAGAAAUGUAUUAUCCAAAUAACAAAUUUAUCCAAAGCACUUUCAAAUUCUAAUAAGGUAAAAAGAA